AGUCUAGUUAGCAUAAAAGUAAUGCAAUUGUUUUGUAAUCAAUAGACACAAGUGCGAUACUUGUACUGGACUUAUAAUAAUAAUUUUUUUUUAAUUAAUUUUAAAAAUAAUUAUUUUAAUGAGUAAUUUAAUAUAAAAAUAAUUAAAUAUUAUAAAUAAUAUAAUUUUAUUAUAAACUU
Molecule: non-coding RNA, 179 nt
Organism: Sporothrix brasiliensis 5110
Lineage: Eukaryota; Fungi; Ascomycota; Sordariomycetes; Ophiostomatales; Ophiostomataceae
Source: the annotation of a RefSeq genome assembly